This 451-nucleotide long non-coding RNA is filed under the name Homo sapiens (human). Its description in RNAcentral is "non-protein coding lnc-TMCO2-1:1". The record is from RNAcentral. Lineage: Eukaryota; Metazoa; Chordata; Mammalia; Primates; Hominidae.
AAUUUAAAGUAUCAAGACUAAAUGGGGGAGAGGGGACAAUGAUAAGAAACAAUACAAACUGUCAGAAAUGAUCAUCAGUAUUUGUAUGUGUGAUGGAAUGUGCCAUUGCCUUUGGUGUCAUACAGAGAUGAUUUUAGAUGCCUGUUCACUCACUGUCUGUGUAACUCUGUGCAAGUAAGUUAAGCUUUCAUUUAUUUAUGUAUUUAUUUAUUUUGAGAUGAGGUCUUGUUAUGUUUUCCAGGAGUUCGAGACCAGCCUGGCCAACAUGACGAAACCCCUGUCUCUACAAAAAAAUACAAAAAUUAGUUGGGCAUGAUAGCGCACGCCUGUAAUCCCAGUACUCAGGAGGCUGAGGCACAAGAGUUGCUUGAACCUGGGAGGUGGAGGUUACAGUGAACUGAGAUCCUGCCUCUGCACUCCAGCCUGGGUGACAAAGUGAGACCCUGUCUUA